AGGAUUCCUGGGCAACGAUCGUCGUCCCAGGGUAAGUCGGGACCUAAUCCGAGGCAUGGAGCGUAGGAGAUGGACAACUGGCAGAUAUUCCAGUACCGGUAAUGAUUGUUUGAGCGACGGAGUGACACAGGAGGGCAGGCAGGCAGGAGAUUGGUUGUUCCUGUAUAAGCGUGUAGGAUGAAACAUAGGCAAAUCCGUGUUUCGGAAGUCUGAGGCGUGAUGUGGAGUGUCCAGAGAUGGACGCGAAGCUGCUGACCCCACACUGUCGAGAAAAGCUUCUAGUUAGAGAAUUACCGCCCGUACCGUAAACCGACACAGGUAUGCGGGGAGAGAAUCCUAAGGUGCGCGGGAGAACCCUCGUUAAGGAACUCGGCAAAAUGUACCCGUAACUUCGGGAUAAGGGUAGCCGCUGUUGUGAAGUCUGAACAGACGGAGCAUGAGGCGGUCGCAGAGAAGAGGCCCAAGCGACUGUUUACCACAAACACAGGUGCCUGCUAAAGAGAAAGCUGAUGUAUAGGUGCUGACACCUGCCCGGUGCUGGAAGGUUAAGAGGAGGGGUUAGACUUCGGUCGAAGCUCUGAAUUGAAGCCCCAGUAAACGGCGGCCGUAACUAUAACGGUCCUAAGGUAGCGAAAUUCCUUGUCGGGUAAGUUCCGACCCGCACGAAAGGUGUAACGAUUUGGGCACUGUCUCAACGAGGGACCCGGUGAAAUUGAAGUACCUGUGAAGAUGCAGGUUACCCGCGACUGGACAGAAAGACCCCAUGGAGCUUUACUGUAACCUGACAUUGUGUUUUGAUACAUCACGUACAGGAUAGGUGGGAGGCUUGGAAGGCAGGACGCCAGUUUUGCCGGAGCCGUUGUUGGGAUACCACCCUUGAUGUAUCGAAAUUCUAACCGUAGGAGUAACGAAACUCGGGACAGUGUCAGGCGGGCAGUUUGACUGGGGCGGUCGCCUCCCAAAGAGUAACGGAGGCGCCCAAAGGUACGCUCAGAUUGGAUGGAAACCAAUCGUCGAGUGCAAUUGCAGAAGCGUGCUUGACUGUGAGACAAACAAGUCGAACAGGGACGAAAGUCGGGAAUAGUGAUCCGGCGGUGCCGAAUGGAAGGGCCGUCGCUCAACGGAUAAAAGCUACCCUGGGGAUAACAGGCUGAUCUCGCCCAAGAGUUCACAUCGACGGCGAGGUUUGGCACCUCGAUGUCGGCUCAUCGCAUCCUGGAGCUGGAUUCGGUUCCAAGGGUUGGGCUGUCCGCCCAUUAAAGCGGUACGCGAGCUGGGUUCAGAACGUCGUGAGACAGUUCGGUC
This 1305-nucleotide ribosomal RNA is filed under the name human gut metagenome. RNAcentral describes it as "bacterial LSU rRNA". It matches the Rfam family "Bacterial large subunit ribosomal RNA", at positions 1348 to 2636 of the family's 2925-position model. The record is from RNAcentral.